CACUGACAUUAGAUACCCCUGUAGUCCAGGGUGUAAACGCUGCAGACUUGGUGCUGGGAACCCUUCGGGGGUGCUCAGUGCCGGAGAGAAGUUGUUAAGUCUGCUACUUGGGGAGUACGUCCGCAAGGAUGAAACUUAAAGGAAUUGGCGGGGGAGCACCGCAACGGGAGGGCGUGCGGUUUAAUUGGAUUCAACGCCGAAAAACUCACCAGCAGCGACUGUUACAUGAAAGUCAGGUUGAUGACCUUACUAGAUUUUCAG
This 261-nucleotide ribosomal RNA is filed under the name uncultured archaeon. Its description in RNAcentral is "partial 16S ribosomal RNA". It matches the Rfam family "Archaeal small subunit ribosomal RNA", at positions 721 to 982 of the family's 1478-position model. The record is from RNAcentral.